UUAAAAGCUUGUUGAGCCUUGGGUAGCCUA
RNAcentral lists this non-coding RNA (30 nucleotides) under Homo sapiens (human). The record is from RNAcentral. Lineage: Eukaryota; Metazoa; Chordata; Mammalia; Primates; Hominidae.